AAACGGAAUUUCACACGAUUGUAUUCCUUCUUUAGACACCCCUUUCAAGAAAACUCGUUUCUACAUUUCAUCUAAAACGCGUGGACAUUUAUACUGCUGAACCACAAGAAAACAAGAAAUCUGGUACAAUCGCCUAUUUAUUACUACAAGACAACGCAGAUUAUUUUGCCCUUUUCCCAAUUUUUUUCCUUCUUUUUCACACUCUUGGCGGUGGGGUAUUAGUUUACUUGCUUUUUUUCUUUCUGCGGAGUUAUCUAUGUCUGCUGCACUCGGAUGUACCACGAAUCUUCUUUCUUCGAGACGGUGAUACAAUCUGAAACGAAUGUGAGAAAAACCGAGGUGCGAAUUGCAUUUUUAUUGGGUUUUCUUCUGGUUAAGCUUGC
RNAcentral lists this long non-coding RNA (383 nucleotides) under Olea europaea subsp. europaea. Lineage: Eukaryota; Viridiplantae; Streptophyta; Magnoliopsida; Lamiales; Oleaceae. The record is from RNAcentral.